Molecule: long non-coding RNA, 4632 nt
Filed under: Citrus x clementina
Lineage: Eukaryota; Viridiplantae; Streptophyta; Magnoliopsida; Sapindales; Rutaceae
Description: Citrus clementina (C. clementina) long non-coding RNA (CCLE_LNC000035)
Source: RNAcentral
GAAUCCAAAAAUAACCGCCCGAAGGCCGGGGCGCCAAGUUCGUCCAGCGGAAAAAGGCCACAAAAACGGGUGGGCUAUAGCCUCUGGGGGUGGAACUGGCCCACUUCGUCCGCCGGCCUCGGAAUGCCGCGAGACUUUGCGAGGGGCCUCCAUGCGCCAAAAAUAGGCCGCGGACAAAGCGGGGCCCAAAAAUAACCGCCCGAAGGCCGGGACGCCAAGUUCGUCCAGCGGAAAAAGGCCACAAAAACGGGUGGGCUAUAGCCUUUGGGGGUGGAACUGGCCCACUUCGUCCGCCGGACUCGGAAUGCCGCGAGACUUUGCGAGGGGCCUCCAUGUGCCAAAAAUAGGCCACGGACAAAGCCGGGCCCAAAAAUAACCGCCCGAAUGCCGGGACGCCAAGUUCGUCCAGCGGAAAUAGGCCACAAAAACGGGUGGGCUAUAGCCUUGGGGGAUGGGGCUGACCAACUUCGUCCGCCGGACUCGGAAUGCCGUGAGACUUUGCGAGGGGCCUCUGUGUGCCAAAAAUAGUCCGCCGGCAAAGCCGCGCCCAAAAAUAACCGCCCGAAGGAAGGGGCUCCAAGUUCGUCCAGCGGAAAAAGGCCACAAAAAAGGGUGGGCGAUAGCCUUGGCGGGUGGGGCUGGCCAACUUCGUCCGCCGGACUCGGAAUGCUGCGAGACUUUGCGAGGGGCCUCCGUGUGCCAAAAAUAGGCCGCGGGCAAAGCCGCGCCCAAAAAUAACAGCCCCAAGGCCGGGGCGCCAAGUUCAUCCAGCGGAAAAAGGCCACAAAAACGCGUGGGCUAUAGCCUUGGGGGGUGGGGCUGGCCAACUUCGUCCGCCGGACUCGGAAUGCCGCGAGACUUUGCGAGGGGCCUCUGUGUGCGAAAAAUAGGCCGCGGGCAAAGCCGCGGCCAAAAAUAACCGCCUGAAGGUCGGGGCGCCAAGUACGUCCAGCGGAAAAAGGCCACAAAAACGGGUGGGCUAUAGCCUUGGGGGGUGGGGCUGGCCAACUUCGUCCGCCGGACUCGGAAUGCCGCGAGCCUUUGCGAGGGGCCUCCAUGUGCCAAAAAUAGGCCGCGGGCAAAGCCAAAUAUAAUAAUAACCACCCGAAGGCCGGGGCGCCAAGUUCGUCCAGCGGAAAAAGGCCACAAAAACGGGUGGGCUAUAGCCUUGGGGGGUGGGACCGGCCCACUUCGUCCGCCGGACUCGGAAUGCUCCGAGACUUUGCGAGGCGCCUCCGUGUGCAAAAAAUAGGCCGCGGGCAAAGCCGGGCCCAAAAAUAACUGCCCCAAGGCCGGGGCGCCAAGUUCGUCCAGCGGAAAAAGGCCACAAAAACGGGUGGGCUAUAGCCUUGGCGGGUGGGGCUGGCCAACUUUGUCCGCCGGGCUCGGAAUGCUCCGAGACUUUGCGAGGGGCCUCCGUCUGCCAAAAAUAGGCCGCGGGCAAAGCCGCGCCCAAAAAUAACCGCCCGAAGGCCGGGGCGCCAAGUUCUUCCAGCGGAAAAAGGCCACAAAACGGGUGGGCUAUAGCCUUGGGGGGUGGGGCUGGCCAAUUUCGUCCGCCGGACUCAGAAUGCCGAGAGAUUUUGCGUGGGGCCUCCGUGUGCCACAAAUAGGCCGCGGACAGAGCCGGGCCCAAAAAUAACCGUCCGAAGGCCGGGGCGCCAAGUUCGUCCGGCGGAAAAACGCCACAAAAACGGGUGGGCUAUAGCCUUGGGGGGUGGGGCUGGCCAACUUCGUCCGCCGGACUGGGAAUGCUGCGAAACUUUGCGAGGGGCCUCCGUGUGCCAAAAAUAGGCCGCGGGCAAAGCCGCGCCCAAAAAUAACUGCCCCAAGGCCGGGGCGCCAAGUUCAUCCAUCGGAAAAAGGGCACAAAAACGGGUGGGCUAUAGCCUUGGGGGGUGGGACUGGCCCACUUCGUCCGCCGGACUCGGAAUGCCGCAAGAUUUUGCGAGGGGACUUCGUGUGCCAAAAAUAGGCCGCGGGGAAAGCCGCGUCCAAAAAUAACCGCCCGAAGGCCGGGGCUCCAGGUUCGUCCAGCGGAAAAAGGCCACAAAAAAGGGUGGGCUAUAGCCUUGGGGGGUGGGGCUGGCCAACUUCGUCCGCCGGACUCAGAAUGCCGCGAGAUUUUGCGAGGGGCCUCCGUGUGCCAAAUUAGGCCGUGGACAAGGCGGGUCCCAAAAAUAACCGCCCGAAGGCCGGGGCUCCAAGUACGUCCAGCGGAAAAAGGCCACAAAAAAGGGUGGGCGAUAGCCUUGGCGGGUGGGGCUGGCCAACUUCGUCCGCCGGACUCGGAAUGCCGCGAGACUUUACGAGGGGCCUCCGUGUGCCAAAAAUAGGCCGCAGGGAAAGCCGCGUCCAAAAAUAACCGCCCGAAGGCCGGGGCUCCAAGUUCGUCCAGCGGAAAAAGGCCACAAAAAAGGGUGGGCUAUAGCCUUGGGGGGUGGGGCUGGCAAACUUCGUCCGCCGGACUCGGAACUGCGAGACUUUGCGAGGGGCCUCCGUGUGCAAAAAAUAGGCGGCGGGCAAAGGCGCACCCAAAAAUAACUGCCCGAAGGCCGGGGCGCCAAGUUCGUCCAGCGGAAAAAGGCCACAAAAACGCGUGGGCUAUAGCCUUGGGGGGUGGGGCUGGCCAACUUCAUCCGCCGGACUCGGAAUGCCGCGAGACUUUGCGAGGGGCCUCCGUGUGCCGAAAAUAGGCUGCGGGCAAAGCCGCGCCCAAAAAUAACCGCCCGAAGGCCGGAGCGCCAAGUUCGUCCAGCGGAAAAAGGCCCCAAAAACGGGUGGGCUAUAGCCUCGGGGGGUGGGGCUGGCCAACUUAGUCCGCCGGAGUCAGAAUGCCGCGAGAUUUUGUGAGGGACCUCCGUGUGCCAAAAAUAGGCCGCGGACAAGGCCGGGCCCAAAAAUAACUGCCCGACGGCCGGGGCUCCAAGUUCGUCCGGCGGAAAAACGCCACAAAAACGGGUGGGCUAUAGCCUUGGGGGGUUGGGCUGGCCAACUUCGUCCGCCGGACUCGGAAUGGUGCUAGAUUUUGCAAGGGGCCUCCGUGUGCCAAAAAUAGGCCGCGGACAAAGCCGGGCCCAAAAAUAACCGCCCGAAGCCNNNNNNNNNNNNNNNNNNNNNNNNNNNNNNNNNNNNNNNNNNNNNNNNNNNNNNNNNNNNNNNNNNNNNNNNNNNNNNNNNNNNNNNNNNNNNNNNNNNNUAACCUUGGGGGUGGGGCUGGCCAACUUGUCCGCUGGACUCGGAAUGGCGCUAGAUUUGCGAGGGGCCUCCGUGUGCCAAAAAUAGGCCGCGGACAAAGCCGCGCCCAAAAAUAACCGCCCGAAGGCCGGGGCUCCAAGUUCGUCCAGCGGAAAAAGGCCACAAAAAAGGGUGGGCUAUAGCCUUGGCGGGUGGGGCUGGCCAACUUCGUCCGCCGGACUCGGAAUGCCGCGAGACUUUGCGAGGGGCCUCUGUGUACCAAAAAUCGGCCGCGGGCAAAGCUGCGCCAAAAAAUAACAGCCCGAAGGCUGGGGCGUCAACUUCGUCCAGCGGAAAAAGGCCACAAAAACGGGUGGGCUAUAGCCUUGGGGGGUGGGGCUGGCCAACUUCGUCCGCCGGACUCAGAAUGCCGCGAGACUUUGCGAGGGGCCUCCGUGUACCAAAAAUAGGCCGCGGAAAAAGCCGGGCCCAAAAAUAACCGCCGGAAGGCCGGGGCGCCAAGUUCGUCCGGCGGAAAAACGCCACAAAAACGGGUGGCCUAUAGCCUUGGGAGGUGGGGCUGGCCAACUUUGUCCGCCGGACUUGGAAUGCCGCGAGACUUUACGAGGGGCCUUCAUGUGCCAAAAAUAGGCCUCGGGCAAAGCCGCGCCCAAAAAUAACCGCCCGAAGGCUGGGGCGCCAAGUUCGUCCAGCGGAAAAAGGCCACAAAAACGGGUGGGCUAUAGCCUUGGGGGGUCGGGCCGGCCAAGUUCGUCCGCCGGACUCGGAAUGCUGCGAGACUUUGCGAGGGGCCUCCGUGUGCCAAAAAUAGGCCGCGGGCAAAGCCGCACCCAAAACUAACCGCCCGAAGGCCGGGGCGCCAAGUUCGUCCAGCGGAAAAAGGCCACAAAAACAGGUGGGCUAUAGCCUUGGGGGGUGGGGCUGGCCAACUUCGUCCGCCGGACUCGGAAUGCCGCGAGACUUUGCGAGGGGCCUCCGUGUGCCAAAACUAGGCCGCGGACAAAGGCGCGCCCAAAAAUAACCGCCCGAAGGCCGGGGCGCCAAAUUCGUCCAGCGGAAAAAGGCCACAAAAACGGGUGGGCUAUAGCCUUGGGGGGUGGGGCUGGCCAACUUCGUCCGCCGGACUCGGAAUGCCACGAGACUUUGCGAGGGGCCUCCGUGUGCCAAAAAUAGGCCGCGGGCAAAGCCAUGCCCAAAAAUAACUGCCCGAAGGCCGGGGCGCCAAGUUCGUCCAGCGGAAAAAGGCCACAAAAACGGGUGGGCUAUAGCCUUGGGGGGUGGGGCUGGCCAACUUAGUCCGCCGGAGUCAGAAUGCCGCGAGAUUUUGUGAGGGGCCUCCGUGUGCCAAAAAUAGGCCGUGGACAAGGCCGGGCCCAAAAAUAACUGCCCGACGGCCGGGGCUCCAAGUUCGUCCGGCGGAAAAACGCCACAAAA